This 252-nucleotide ribosomal RNA is filed under the name uncultured bacterium. RNAcentral describes it as "partial 16S ribosomal RNA". It matches the Rfam family "Bacterial small subunit ribosomal RNA", at positions 524 to 776 of the family's 1533-position model. The record is from RNAcentral.
UACGUAGGGAGCAAGCGUUAUCCGGAUUUAUUGGGUGUAAAGGGUGCGUAGACGGAGAAGCAAGUUAGUUGUGAAAUCCCUCGGCUUAACUGAGGAACUGCAACUAAAACUACUUCCUUGAGUACUGGAGAGGAAAGUGGAAUUCCUAGUGUAGCGGUGAAAUGCGUAGAUAUUAGGAGGAACACCAGUGGCGAAGGCGACUUUCUGGACAGUAACUGACGUUGAGGCACGAAAGUGUGGGGAGCAAACAGG